GCAGGUGUGGCGGAAUUGGUAGACGCGCAUGGUUUAGGACCAUGUUCCCUUAUAGGGAGUUGAGGUUCGAGUCCUCUCACCUGCA
Non-coding RNA from Candidatus Woesebacteria bacterium RBG_13_36_22, 85 nucleotides. Lineage: Bacteria; Candidatus Woeseibacteriota. The record is from Rfam.